ACGGUGUAUAAGCCCGAUUGGUCACGCAACGCCACGACGAUGAGGGAAGCCGGUAAAACUCCGGCGCGGUCGCGCCACUUUAUCUGGUACGCAAGUUCAAGCUUGAUGAGCCAGGAGUCAGACCUCUCUUCGUUGUUCUUCGAAC
This 145-nucleotide non-coding RNA is filed under the name Caballeronia choica. The record is from RNAcentral. Lineage: Bacteria; Pseudomonadati; Pseudomonadota; Betaproteobacteria; Burkholderiales; Burkholderiaceae.